AUAAUUUUUUUUAAAUGCGUUAAAAGACUGCCUAGGUAUUAAUUUUAAUAAGUUGUGAAAUGCAAAAAAUAAAGUUGAUUUAGAUAUGAACUUUAUUGACUAUGAGAAAAAAUUCUUCUUAGUGACUUUAAAAUGAGCAAAGUAAAACAUUUUAUUAGCUCAUAUAAAAAGCAACCGAGAUUUCGUUAGUAGUGGCGAGCGAACGCGAAUUUUAGAUAUAUAAAUUUUAUAUUUUUAAUAAAUUAUCCAGAGAAGGUUUUAGUCCUGUAGUUAAAAAUUUAAAUUUGUUAGAAUAAUAACGUAUUAUGCUAAUAUGUUUAUUGGGGAUCUACCCUUGAAUCUAAUAAAAUUAAUAACCGAUAGUAAACGAGUACCGUGAGGGAAAGGUGAAAGAGUACUUUUUUAGGAUGAAAAGUUUCUAAAAUUUAAUGCAUACAAUCUGUUGAAGCUUUUUUAAAGUGACAGCGUACCUUUUGCAUAAUGGGCCAGUAAGUUUAUGUUUAAAGCGAGUUUAAUUUAAAUUAAAUAGACGAAAUGAAAUUGAGUAUUAACUUAUAUAUAAAGUUUUAAACAUAAGACCCGAAGCUAAGUGAUCUAAUCAUGAACAGGCUGAAAAUUUAUGUGUUCUCACAUGUUGGAGGGCCGAACUCGUGUCUGUAGAAAUAGACUGGGAUGAUUUGUGAUUAGGAGCGAAAGACCAAUCAAACUUAGUUAUAGCCGGUUUUCUGCGAAAUAUAUUUUAGUAUAGUCUGUAAAUUAUUUAAUAUAAGGUAGAGCUCUUUUUAAGUGUGGGGGACUUUUUGUCUUACUUAUCUUUGGAAACCUUCGAAUGUAUAUUUAUUUUUUUAUGGAAUCAGACAAUAGGCGCUAAGGUCUAUUGUCAAAAGGAAAACAGUCCAGAUUAAAGAAUAAGGUUCUAAAUAUAUGUUAAGUGAUAAGAUAGUUAAGAAAUUUUUACAAUUUUAGGGUAGGCUUGGAAGCAGCCAUCUCUUGAAGAAAGCGUAAUAGCUUAGAAAUCUAGUUUCUUAGCAUCGAAAAUUUAUUGGGACUAAACAUAUAACCGAAUUUUUAAAUAUGUUAGACAUAUGGUAGCAGAAUGUUCAAUAUAUUAAAGAAGAUAUUUUGUAAAAAAUAUUGGAAAUAUUUGAAGUAAGCAUACUGGCAUUAGUAGAACAAAACAAUGUUUAAUCAUUGUCGCCGUAAAUCUAAGGUUUCCGAUUGCACACUGUAUGGAAUCAGAAAAAGCGGUCCCUAAGGCAAAUUACAAAAGUAUAAGCUAAUGGGAUAUAAAUAUGUGACGAAUAUAUUAUGUUAUUAACUUUUUAUGAUUUAAAGUAGUAUCUUAUAUGUUUCUGGAAAAAGCAUUUUAUAUAAAACCGUACCUAAUCCGACACAGGUAGAUGGGUAGAAUAUACUAAGGCGAUCAAGAUAAUUAUGUUGAAGGAACUCGGCAAAUUAGCUCUGUAACUUAGGGAAAAGGAGUGACAUUUUUUAGGUAACUAAAAAUUGUUAUCAUUGAAGAGGAAGAAGCGACUGUUUAUCAAAAACACAAGUCUCUGCAAAUUCGAGAGAAGAAGUAUAGAGACUGACACCUGCCCGGUGCUGUAAAGUGAGGUGGAGAUGUUAAGACAUCGAAAUUAAGCUCCAGUAAACGGCGGCUGUAACUCUAACGGUCCAAAGGUAGCGAAAUUCCUUGUCGGGUAAGUUCCGACCUGCAUGAAUGGUGUAACGACUUCUUCACUGUCUCCAGCAUAAUCUUGGUGAAUUUGAAAUAUCCGUGAAGAUGCGGAUUACUUGCGGUUAGACGGUAAGACCCCGUGCACCUUUACUAUGAUUUUAAGUUGUAAAACUUUAUAUUUUGUGUAGAAUAAAUGGGAGCGAAAGCAAUAGUGAAAUACCAUUCUUAAUAUAAAAUUUUACUUAAUUCAAAAAAGAAAACAGCUUAUGAAAGGUAGUUUGACUGGGGCGGUCACCUCCUAAAAAGUAACGGAGGUGUGCAAAGGCAAUUUCAAGUUUUAUAGACUGUAGCGUAUAAUGGCAUAUAAUUGCUUGACUGUGAGAUUGACAAAUCAAACAGAGAUUAAAAGUCGGCCAUAGUGAUCCGGUGAUUCAAUGUGGAAUGGUCAUCGCUCAACGGAUAAAAGGUACGCCGGGGAUAACAGGCUGAUGGUUUCUGAGAGUCCAUAUCGACGAGACCGUUUGGCACCUCGAUGUCGGCUCAUCACAUCCUGGAGCUGAAGUAGGUUCCAAGGGUUCGGCUGUUCGCCGAUUAAAGUGGUACGUGAGCUGGGUUCAGAACGUCGUGAGACAGUUCGGUCCCUAUCUGCCGUAAGUUAAGAAAAUUGAGAGAAUUAAACUCUAGUACGAGAGGACCGAGUUAAGUAAACCAAUGGUGAAUUGAUUGUUAUAUCAGUAGCAUUGUCAAGUAGCUAAGUUUAUAAAAAAUAACCGCUGAAAGCAUAUAAGUGGGAAAUUUUUCUUAAAACAGAUUUUCUAAAUACGUAAAAGAUUAUUACGAAUAAUAGUUUUUAAAUGUAAGAGUAGUAAUAUUUUUAGUUUAAAAAAACUAAUACUGUUGUUUUAAAUGAAUU
Molecule: ribosomal RNA, 2591 nt
Filed under: Ochromonas danica
Lineage: Eukaryota; Chrysophyceae; Chromulinales; Chromulinaceae
Description: large subunit ribosomal RNA
Rfam family: Bacterial large subunit ribosomal RNA
Source: RNAcentral